RNAcentral lists this ribosomal RNA (491 nucleotides) under uncultured bacterium. Its description in RNAcentral is "partial 16S ribosomal RNA". It matches the Rfam family "Bacterial small subunit ribosomal RNA", at positions 29 to 507 of the family's 1533-position model. The record is from RNAcentral.
AGUGAACGCUGGCGGUAGGCCUAACACAUGCAAGUCGAACGGCAGCACAGUAAGAGCUUGCUCUUACGGGUGGCGAGUGGCGGACGGGUGAGGAAUACAUCGGAAUCUACUUUUUCGUGGGGGAUAACGUAGGGAAACUUACGCUAAUACCGCAUACGACCUACGGGUGAAAGCAGGGGAUCUUCGGACCUUGCGCGAUUGAAUGAGCCGAUGUGGGAUUAGCUAGUUGGCGGGGUAAAGGCCCACCAAGGCGACGAUCCGUAGCUGUCUGAGAGGAUGAUCAGCCACACUGGAACUGAGACACGGUCCAGACUCCUACGGGAGGCAGCAGUGGGGAAUAUUGGACAAUGGGCGCAAGCCUGAUCCAGCCAUACCGCGUGGGUGAAGAAGGCCUUCGGGUUGUAAAGCACUUUUGUUGGGAAAGAAAAGCAGCAGGUUAAUACCCCGCUGUUCUGACGUUACCCAAAGAAUAAGCACCGGCUAACUUCGUG